Molecule: transfer RNA, 69 nt
Filed under: Nesoptilotis leucotis (White-eared honeyeater)
Lineage: Eukaryota; Metazoa; Chordata; Aves; Passeriformes; Meliphagidae
Description: tRNA-Asp
Source: RNAcentral
GGAGUGUUAGUAAAACAAUUACACAGUCUUGUCAAGACUGAAUUACAGGUGAAAACCCAGUACACUUCA